AUACGGAGGGUGCAAGCGUUAUUCGGAAUCACUGGGCGUAAAGGGUGCGUAGGCGGUUUGGUAAGUCUGAUGUGAAAUCCUAUGGCUCAACCAUAGAACUCCAUUGGAAACUGCUAAACUAGAAUACUGAAGGGGCAGAUGGAAUUAGUGGUGUAGGGGUAAAAUCCGUAGAUAUCACUAGGAAUACCGAAAGCGAAAGCGAUCUGCUGGGAAGUUAUUGACGCUGAGGCACGAAAGCGUGGGGAGCAAACGGGAUUAGAAACCCCAGUAGUCC
This 274-nucleotide ribosomal RNA is filed under the name uncultured bacterium. Its description in RNAcentral is "partial 16S ribosomal RNA". It matches the Rfam family "Bacterial small subunit ribosomal RNA", at positions 523 to 796 of the family's 1533-position model. The record is from RNAcentral.